This is an RNA transcript of Hevea brasiliensis (rubber tree), 4238 nucleotides long. It is a transcript of the gene named putative disease resistance protein RGA3, with no coding region annotated. The record is from RefSeq and is a predicted model, not a curated record. The transcript is spliced from 7 exons. NCBI's taxonomy places the organism in Eukaryota, Viridiplantae, Streptophyta, Magnoliopsida, Malpighiales, Euphorbiaceae.
UAUGCAACGUGAUGUUUACUAAAUUGAGAUGUUUAAGGGUGUUAGAUCUACGAGGAUUAGAAAUGAAGUAUGUGCCACCUUCAGUUGAGAAAUUGAAGCAUCUAAGGUAUCUUGAUCUUUCUGAGAAUCCAAGUAUCAAAACACUUCCUGAUUCAAUCACCAAACUACAAAACUUACAAAUUCUGAAACUGGUAGAGUGCAUGGCACUUGAACAAUUGCCAAAAGACAUGAGAAGGUUGGUCAAUCUCAGGUGUCUUGACCUCAGAUAUUGUUUUUGGUUGACUCAUAUGCCACGUGGGAUUGGACAAUUGAGUUCACUGGAGAGAUUAUCAAGAUUUGUGGUAGCCAAGGAUAAUACUGUGUGCAGUGGACUCGGUGAAUUACAAGGAUUGAACAACUUGAGAGGAGAGUUGAAGAUUGUGAAUUUGCGUUAUGUGAAAAAUGGUACAUCUGAAUUUAAGGCGGCCAAUUUGAAAGAGAAGCAACAUCUUCAGAUCCUGGAAUUAGUAUGGAAUGAAGACGGUGAUGAUAGUGAGGGUGCAAAUGACGUUGAGAAUGAUGAAAUGGGGUUGGAAGCGUUACGGCCCCACCAAAAUUUGAAAGAGCUAUCUUUGGAGUUCUACAGAGGAGUGAAGUUUCCCAGCUGGAUUUCUUCCCUCACAAAUUUGAUGUCCAUUUGUUUCUGCUCUUGCAAAAGCAUAAAGCGUUUCCCACCAUUUGAUCAGCUUCUUUCUCUUAAAUCUUUGUGCAUUUCUGGAUUAACUAAUCUAGAGUAUAUAGAUACUGAUGGAGGAUCUUCAUCAUUCUUUCCUUCCCUAACACAACUCUACCUCACAAACUGCCCUAAUCUGAAGGGAUGGUUGACAUGCAUGAGGAAUGAUGGAACGGCAGACCUCCUUAGAUUUCCUUGUCUUUCCUUUUUGUAUAUCCAUAAUUGCCCUAACCUGACUUCCAUGCCAUUAGUUCCGUCUUUAGAAAGGUUGCAUUUUCGUGGUAGCGGUGGGAACCCAUUGGAGCAUAUAAUAAAGAUGAUUAUUUCAGCAUCACAGUCCAGCUCCUUCUCCUUCUCAUCCUCUUCUUCUUCUUUCCCAAUCUCUCAAUUUAAAUAUCUAAGCAUUUAUGAAGUUGAAGAUUUAGAAUUUCUGCCAGAGUUGCUGUUUAACCUCGCUUCUCUCCAAAGUCUGACUAUUCAGAAUUGCCAAAAAAUAACAACUCUGUCACGUGAUGAGAAUGACAAAGGAAUGCAAUGGCAGGGCCUUCAAAACCUCCGUUCUCUAUAUCUUUGGUUUAAUCGAAACUUGGUGUCUCUCCCAAAGGGACUUCAGUAUGCUACCACUCUGCAUCGUCUCGAUAUCGGUGUUUGUCCUAAUUUGAUGUCUUUACCAGAGUGGAUGGACAACCUUACUGAAUUACAAUUUUUGUGGAUAAGGGGUUGUCCCCAACUAUCAGCAAAAUGUGAAAAGAAUGUUGGGGAGGAUUGGCCUAAGGUUGCUCACAUCCCAAAUAUUUCUAUCAAUGGCAAAGUAAUUCAACGGAGUCUUUGAUUAGAAAAAUCCUUUGCACUUUCCCUGGGUAGAUGUGGCAACCCAAUAACAUCUUGCAAUACACUGUUCUCUGACCUAAAGGAAUCAUUGUCUGGCCUUCUUUAAAUCGGGACAGAGGGACAACUAAUUCUCUUUAUCCCAUUCACUUGUAAGUUAAUCAACUGCCUAGCUUCUCUAAUCGUCAUUGUUCCCUUUCUAGCGUUUUGUUUUGAACGAGUGUACUUUUCUUGAUAUUUCUUACACUUGAACAAACUAAACGUUAAAAAGAUUACAGAAUUAACAUCAUUUGUUAAUGUCUCAGAAAAAAAAUGAGAAUCUGGAGUUUCUCUUGGAAGAUGUGAAGCAUUUAGCAAACAAUUUCUCCAAAAUUGGAAGAUGCAAGCUAAUGCAAGUAACUACUUGUCCAGUGAUAAUGAACAGAGUCCCCUGCUCUCUUCUUUAUUCUUGUGUUUCACUUCUGUGGAGAAACUUCAACUUGCAGUCAGUCUUCUACAACUUAUUGUUUUCAUUAACUCAAGAGGAAUUGCAUACAAAGCCAGCAUCAGUUCUGGCUCUUCAAUUUUUUGUUUUUGUGACUUGUUACUUAGCAGGUAGCUCAUGUUUGUUACUUGUGUGGUUGGAAUCUCUCUAUUUCUUGUUUAUUUGUUCCUAAGGUUUCUUCCUACAAAUUAGCCGGAGUUUAUGACCUUCCGUAGUAUGCUAUUUCAUGAAAAAGUUACACGGAAAAUUAUACUUUUAUAGCAUGUGACUUAUUUAUCCUUAGACAUUACAAUGGUAUCAAUUUCUCAUACACUUCUCAACUUUUCAACAGGUUGUUUGGGUUGGGUUUCAAAAAGAUGCAAGGAGAAAAAACAGGAUUGGCAGACAAUUCUAACUCGAUGCUCAUGUCCCCAUGCUUGUGUAUGGUUUCAGAAGUAUCAACAAACCAGUGUUGUAUGGAUUUGCCCUUUUUCUAGUCUGAUAAAUAUCACACUUCGAUAUAAUAAUACAUAUGACUCUGGAUUGCGAUGGAUGCUGACACUUGAAGACCAUGUAAUUCUUCAGACCAUUCUGGUAUUGCUAGAAUUAUCCAACAAGUUGAAUGUUUAUAUGAGAUAUUGUUAUUGUUUAUCUAUUUUUUCGUUUUCCUUUCUAACAUGUUGGUCUUUUGCAAUUGGAGUGUUCUUGUAGGAGAUGUAAGAGAGGAAGUGUGAAAUAAAUAUUUCCCAUUGGUUUCUUCAAACUUCAGAUAAUUAAAAUGAAUGAUUCUCCUCUCCUAUUUCAAGAUGGAGAGAACAGUUGAGGAUUGGCCUUUAUUGUCUCAGAAACACUAAUUUUGGUACUUUCAUCUCCUAUGAAUGUCCAUUUACAAACAAAAAUGGUGCAUUUAUUCAAGUACUAAUUGGUAGCAUGGAAGAGAGGAAAAACAUUAAUGCCAACUGCCAAGGGUUUCGACAAACAAGUGCUUUUCCUUAGUUCCCUAUUUUCUUUCUGCUUAUGAUAAGAAAAUUCUGCUUUUCUUUAAUUAUCUCCUCCUUUCUGUUUUGACAAGAAAAUUUUGUUUGGUAGGUUGGUUGGGGUGAAUACUUCCUUCUUUUUGAGAAAUUUUCAAGUCUAGUGAAACUCGCACUUUUAUAUGUACCAUAUUGCCCAUUGAACGCAAGUGUAAUGUGUGGAUAAGAACCCUUGAACAGCUUUUUAUUCAACCCAAGCAGGUAAUACUUCCUCACUUCUUCUUUUAUUCACUUUCCUAUGAACAGGAAGAUUUACAAACUGCACUAAGAAAUUUCAUCUUAAACAAGGUUUGGCAUCAGGAUAAUGCUUCAAAGGUUGUAAUUUGAACCUUAAAUCCGAUUCUUCAAUUGUGUGAUAUCACAGUGGAUGAUGAUGACGAUGCUUCAGAAUUGACAUUCACUCCAGUGGUUCUGUCCUGUUUCAAAGAGCCAGAGAAGAGUGAUUGAGGAUGGCCUCUUUGUCUUAUGGGUUCAAUAUUGCUGGUUGAAGAGGUGUGGCAUUACACGAAGCUCAUUCUUUAUCCAAGGUGAGAGUUUAUGAAGUCAGAAAUUUUAAUGAAGUCCUGUCACGAAAGAUACAUUCCUAUAUAGAUCUAGUGGCUUUCUCUGUGAGUUUGAUCAAGGCUCCAGUCAGGGUUCUUCACAAAGUAUUCUGAAAUCUCCAAUGACUAAUGUACUCUUAAAAACAAUUUACCCUUUUGGAUCUAGAGUGGUUCAUGGAGGGACAUGAGAAUAGAAAACAAUGCAAAAUGAUGCCUGCAAAUUUGUCAAAUGCAUGCCUAACUCUUCCAUGUAAAUAUUAGUAAAAUGUUUGGGUCAAGCUUGAUACGAGAAAUAGAACACUUCAAGCAAAGAAUAUGCAUAUAACUGAGGAGAUAGCUUGAAGUUCAACUGCAGACAAACAACAAUGGUUACGGUCACGAAUGAUAAGACUGCAAUCCUACUUGUAGAAAUGGUUUUCCCCCCAUAUUGCAAGUUCUCACCAGCAAAUGAUUGCCCUUUUUUAAUCAUUUCCUGUAUGUUCUGAUGAUCAAUUUCAUCUUUUCUACCCUCUUCUGGGGUUUACAUGGGUUAUGAAUUCUAUUAUGCUUUCUAAUUCACUUUUGGAAGAAACUCAAAAAGUCUGUAAUUAACUGCAUUUUGGAGGGAAGGCAGAAAUUAUAAAAGCAAUGACAGAGAUUUAUGCAAAUCAUUGUUUGUA